Molecule: non-coding RNA, 27 nt
Filed under: Rattus norvegicus (Norway rat)
Lineage: Eukaryota; Metazoa; Chordata; Mammalia; Rodentia; Muridae
Source: RNAcentral
UGGCUUACAAGCUGAGAUGUUUAGUAC